CCUACGGGUGGCAGCAGUGAGGAAUAUUGGUCAAUGGCCGGAAGGCUGAACCAGCCAUGCCGCGUGAAGGUCAGUGCCCUAUGGGCGUUAAACUUCUUUUGUGCGGGGGCAAUAAUGGUCACGUGUGGCCAGACGAGAGUACCGUACGAAUAAGCAUCGGCUAACUACGUGCCAGCAGACGCGGUAAUACGGGGGAUGCAAGCGUUAUCCGGAUUUAUUGGGUUUAAAGGGUGCGUAAGAUGGGAGGUAAGUCAGCGGUGAAAUGUCCCCGGUCAACGGGGUGAAGUGCCAUUGAUACUGGCUUGCUGGAGUGCGGAUGAGGUAGGAGGAAUGUGUGGUGUAGCGGUGAAAUGCAUAGAUAUCACGCAGAACACCGAUUGCGAAGGCAUCUCACGAAUCCGCGAUUGACGCUGAUGCACGAAAGCGUGGGUAUCAAACAGGAUUAGAUACCCCGGUAGUC
This 460-nucleotide ribosomal RNA is filed under the name uncultured bacterium. RNAcentral's name for it is "partial 16S ribosomal RNA". It matches the Rfam family "Bacterial small subunit ribosomal RNA", at positions 338 to 795 of the family's 1533-position model. The record is from RNAcentral.